RNAcentral lists this transfer RNA (74 nucleotides) under bacterium. RNAcentral describes it as "tRNA-Val". It matches the Rfam family "tRNA". Rfam says of the family: Transfer RNA (tRNA) molecules are approximately 80 nucleotides in length. Their secondary structure includes four short double-helical elements and three loops (D, anti-codon, and T loops). The record is from RNAcentral.
GGAUGAUUAGCUCAGUUGGUUAGAGCGCUACAUUGACAUUGUAGAGGUCACUGGUUCGAAUCCAGUAUCAUCCA